AUGGAUAGUUUUAUAGGAUAGAUAAGGAGGAGUGGAAGAGUUAAAUGCCUAGAGGAUAUUUUAUGAAUAGAUUUAGCCAUUUCAUUUGUACAUGUAAGAAAAAGAAAGGUGGCAAAUAAUGUGUUAGAAAAAGAGAUUAGAACGGAACAAAAAGUGUAUUGAAUUCUUACUUUAUAGGAUUGAUAGUUAAAAGUGGAGGAGUUUGAGCCUAGAGUAUCAUGUACGAAUAGAGAUUAACUUGAUGAAAAUGAGAUUAGAGAAUGGAACAGUAACUCAAACAAUAUAUUACAGUCCAAGAAAAGUGUAUUGAAUUCUAAGUUUAUAGGAUUAAUAGUGAAAAGUGGAGGAGUUGGAGCCUAGAGUAUCAUGUACGAAUAGAGACUAACUUGACGAAAAUGAGAUUAGAGAAUGGAACAGCUACUCAAACAAUAUAUUACAGUGCGAGAAAAGUGUAUUGAAUUCUAAGUUUAUAGGAUUGAUAGUGAAAAGUGGAGGAGUUUGAGCCUAGAGUAUCUUGUAUGAAUAGAGACUAACUUGACGAAAAAGAGAUUAGAGAAUGGAACAGUAACUCAAACAAUAUAUUACAGUGCAAGAAAAGUGUAUUGAAUUCUUACUUUAUAGGAUUGAUAGUUAAAAGUGGAGGAGUUUGAGCCUAGAGGAUCAUGUACGAAUAGAGACUAACUUGACGAAAAAGAGAUUAGAGAAUGGAACAGUGACUCAACAAUAUAUUAAGGUCCAAGAAAAUUAUGUAGGAUUAUUAGUUUAUAGAAUUAAUAGUGAAAAGUGGAGGAGCUUAAGCCUAGAGGAUCAUGUAUGAAUAGAGACUAACUUAAUGAAAAAUGGAUAUAGAAUGGAACCGUGUCUCAAACAAUAUUUUACAGUGCAAGAAAAGUAUAUAGAAUUCUUAGUUUAGAGGAUUAAUAGGGAAAAUUGGAAGAGUUGCAGCCUAUGUAGAAGAUGAUUUAACUUGAUGAAAAAUGGAUAUAGAAUGGAACCGUGUCUCAAACAAUAUAUUACAGUGCAAGAAAAAUGUGUAUAGAAUUAUCAGUUUAUAGAAUUGAUGGUGAAAAUGGGGGAGUUGAAACGUACAUAGAGGAUGAUUUAACUUGACGAAAAAGAGAUUAUAAUGAAACUGACUCAAACAAUAUAUUAAGGUGCAAAGAAAGUAUAUAGAAUUCUUAGCUUAUAGAUUUGAUAGUGAAAAGUGGAGGAGUUUGAGCCUAGAGAAUCACAUAUGAAUAGAGAUUAACAGUUUUAUACAUAUAUCGAAUAAGAAAAAGGUGUCCAAGAGCUUCAUAAAUAAGAGAUGGGGAUGGAGCAGUGACUCGAAUAUAUCAAGGUGCAGGAAAGUACGGAUGUAGAAUUUAUUUUAGGUGUAACUUCACGCUGAAAACUCACAUUAAGAUUAGUAAUAUAUAAAUCAGACAUGAUUCAAAACCUUAGCGACCCGUCAUAUAUAUAUUUUUUCUCUUUUACGAUCAGCCAGGCAGGAUUCUAGUGUUAUAUUUUAUUUUUUUAUUUUUAUUAUUAUUAUUAUUAUUAUUAUUAUUAUUAUUAUUAUUUUAUUUUUUACAUCUCUGCCUUUAGCGUAGAGAUUAGUAAAAUAUAAGCCAGACACGAUUCAAAACAUUAGCGAACCCCGACAUACAUUUUUUUUCUCUUUUACGAUCAGCCAGGCAAUUUUUUUUUUUUUUUUAUUUAAUUUUAUUUUUUUACAUCUCCACCUGUGGCGUCGGUAAGCUUUCUUCAGUUUAUUUAUUUAUCUUUAUUUCAUAGCUUAUUGGAGUACAAACUGAUUCAUGUGCUCUGGGCAUUAAGGACGACUUUUGAAUAUCACUUUGGUGUACGUUCCACAGUUUCCCAUGGCUUUUUUUUUCUAGUGCCUGUGAUUGCAAACUCUAGCUCUACAUUGCUCUUUUUUUCCUUAUUUAUUGACAUUGAUACCACCCGACCUGCGAACCGUAUCUCUAUACUGCUUAUUUUUCAUUAUUUAUAUUGAUCUUUUCUUUUACAUUUAAUAACUGCAAACUGUGGAUACCAAUUGCUAUUUCUUUUUUUAUAUGUACUGAUAACACAAAAAAACGCUGGUCUACGCCUCACCAAUAGUCAUCAUUAGGAAAGAAUCACACGGAAGUCUUUUUAGAAUGUAUACUUGCUAGAAAGGUCUCGUUCACAAAGCAGUCUUGAUUAUUUCUCUAUGUGUGUCGGAGUAAACCCCCAUUCACACUGCCGUUUCUGAGCCACGACAACCCAGCGACUCUUAGGCCUCC
This is a long non-coding RNA of Eriocheir sinensis (Chinese mitten crab), 2270 nucleotides long. RefSeq lists it as uncharacterized. The transcript is spliced from 3 exons. NCBI's taxonomy places the organism in Eukaryota, Metazoa, Arthropoda, Malacostraca, Decapoda, Varunidae. The record is from RefSeq and is a predicted model, not a curated record.